GACGAACGCUGGCGGUGUGCUUAACACAUGCAAGUCGAACGGAUCACAUGAUUUCGGUUGUGUGGUGAGUGGCGAACGGGUGAGUAACACGUGAGUAACCUGCCCCCUUCUCUGGGAUAACUGUUGGAAACGGCGGCUAAUACCGGAUAUUCACUUUCUCUCGCAUGGGGGUUGGUGGAAAGUUUUUUCGGUGGGGGAUGGGCUCGCGGCCUAUCAGCUUGUUGGUGGGGUAGUGGCCUACCAAGGCUUUGACGGGUAGCCGGUCUGAGAGGAUGGUCAGCCGGAUUGGGACUGAGACACGGCCCAGACUCCUACGGGGGCAGCAAUUAGGAAUCUUGCGCAAUGGGGGAAACCCUGACGCAGCGACGCCGCGUGAAUGAAGAAGUCCUUCGGAUGUAAAGUUCUGUUCUAUGGGAAGGAAGGACGAGUAGACGGUACCCGACUAGAGAAAGACCCGGCCGUAACUACGUAGCCAGCAGCCGCGGUAAACGUACACGUCG
This 500-nucleotide ribosomal RNA is filed under the name uncultured bacterium. RNAcentral's name for it is "bacterial SSU rRNA". It matches the Rfam family "Bacterial small subunit ribosomal RNA", at positions 28 to 536 of the family's 1533-position model. The record is from RNAcentral.